UUUAAAAAAUGUUUUUCAUCAAUUCAGGAGUGAAUUUUUGAAAAAGAUAGAAGAGAGUAUUUCUCCUUUAAGGAUGUGCUUUUGUAUAAGAGAAUAUCAUUCUCUACAAGAGUGUGGCUAUCUUGAAAGGUGCCGGGGAAGGUUUUCCGGUUUAUCCCGGAGGGCUUGUAGCUCAGUUGGUUAGAGCGCGCGCUUGAUAAGCGUGAGGUCGGAGGUUCAAGUCCUCCCAGGCCCACCAAUUUAGAUUUGUUUAACCUGCUGUUAAUGGUUCUCUCUCCUUCAUGAAGAAGAUAUUGGAGGGGGUAAGAACCUCGUGGAAACCUUGAAUGCUCAAUAAGGCUUGAGGCUUUUUAUAAAAUGCUCGUAGUAUAUAUUAUGAGAUUUUAGUAAAAUUAUGAGGCUAUCAAGGAACUUGAUCAGUUUUGAUUUGAGGGUUAGGUUAGCGCUUUCUUUUAGGGGCCGUAGCUCAGCUGGGAGAGCACCUGCUUUGCAAGCAGGG
Molecule: unclassified non-coding RNA, 499 nt
Filed under: Bartonella sp.
Lineage: Bacteria; Pseudomonadati; Pseudomonadota; Alphaproteobacteria; Hyphomicrobiales; Bartonellaceae
Description: partial 16S-23S ribosomal RNA intergenic spacer
Rfam family: tRNA (bases 162-235)
Source: RNAcentral